UAGGUUAACGAGGCGAACCGGGGGAACUGAAACAUCUAAGUACCCCGAGGAAAAGAAAUCAACCGAGAUUCCCCCAGUAGCGGCGAGCGAACGGGGAGCAGCCCGGAGUCUGAAUCAGCUUGUGUGUUAGUGGAACGGUCUGGAAAGUCCGACGGUACAGGGUGAUAGUCCCGUACACGAAAAUGCACAUGCUGUGAACUCGAAGAGUAGGGCGGGACACGUGGUAUCCUGUCUGAAUAUGGGGGGACCAUCCUCCAAGGCUAAAUACUCCUGACUGACCGAUAGUGAACCAGUACCGUGAGGGAAAGGCGAAAAGAACCCCGGCGAGGGGAGUGAAAAAGAACCUGAAACCGUGUACGUACAAGCAGUGGGAGCCUCUUUAUGGGGUGACUGCGUACCUUUUGUAUAAUGGGUCAGCGACUUAUAUUCUGUAGCAAGGUUAACCGUAUAGGGGAGCCGAAGGGAAACCGAGUCUUAACUGGGCGUUAAGUUGCAGGGUAUAGACCCGAAACCCGGUGAUCUAGCCAUGGGCAGGUUGAAGGUUGGGUAACACUAACUGGAGGACCGAACCGACUAAUGUUGAAAAAUUAGCGGAUGACCUGUGGCUGGGGGUGAAAGGCCAAUCAAACCGGGAGAUAGCUGGUUCUCCCCGAAAGCUAUUUAGGUAGCGCCUCGUGAACUCAUCUUCGGGGGUAGAGCACUGUUUCGGCUAGGGGGCCAUCCCGGCUUACCAACCCGAUGCAAACUACGAAUACCGAAGAAUGUUAUCACGGGAGACACACGGCGGGUGCUAACGUCCGUCGUGAAGAGGGAAACAACCCAGACCGCCAGCUAAGGUCCCAAAGUCAUGGUUAAGUGGGAAACGAUGUGGGAAGGCACAGACAGCCAGGAUGUUGGCUUAGAAGCAGCCAUCAUUUAAAGAAAGCGUAAUAGCUCACUGGUCGAGUCGGCCUGCGCGGAAGAUGUAACGGGGCUAAACCAUGCACCGAAGCUGCGGCAGCGACACUAUGUGUUGUUGGGUAGGGGAGCGUUCUGUAAGCCGUUGAAGGUGUGCUGUGAGGCAUGCUGGAGGUAUCAGAAGUGCGAAUGCUGACAUAAGUAACGAUAAAGCGGGUGAAAAGCCCGCUCGCCGGAAGACCAAGGGUUCCUGUCCAACGUUAAUCGGGGCAGGGUGAGUCGACCCCUAAGGCGAGGCCGAAAGGCGUAGUCGAUGGGAAACAGGUUAAUAUUCCUGUACUUGGUGUUACUGCGAAGGGGGGACGGAGAAGGCUAUGUCAGCCGGGCGACGGUUGUCCCGGUUUAAGCAUGUAGGCGGAGGUUCCAGGUAAAUCCGGUACCUUUUAACGCUGAGGUGUGAUGACGAGGCACUACGGUGCUGAAGUGAUAAAUGCCCUGCUUCCAGGAAAAGCCUCUAAGCAUCAGGUAACACGAAAUCGUACCCCAAACCGACACAGGUGGUCAGGUAGAGAAUACCAAGGCGCUUGAGAGAACUCGGGUGAAGGAACUAGGCAAAAUGGUGCCGUAACUUCGGGAGAAGGCACGCUGAUGUGUAGGUGAAGCCCCUGCGGGCGGAGCUGAAAUCAGUCGAAGAUACCAGCUGGCUGCAACUGUUUAUUAAAAACACAGCACUGUGCAAACACGAAAGUGGACGUAUACGGUGUGACGCCUGCCCGGUGCCGGAAGGUUAAUUGAUGGGGUUAGCGGCAACGCGAAGCUCUUGAUCGAAGCCCCGGUAAACGGCGGCCGUAACUAUAACGGUCCUAAGGUAGCGAAAUUCCUUGUCGGGUAAGUUCCGACCUGCACGAAUGGCGUAAUGAUGGCCAGGCUGUCUCCACCCGAGACUCAGUGAAAUUGAACUCGCUGUGAAGAUGCAGUGUACCCGCGGCAAGACGGAAAGACCCCGUGAACCUUUACUAUAGCUUGACACUGAACACUGGUCCUUGAUGUGUAGGAUAGGUGGGAGGCUUUGAAGCGUGGACGCCAGUCUGCGUGGAGCCAUCCUUGAAAUACCACCCUUUAAUGGCUGGUGUUCUAACGUAGACCCGUGAUCCGGGUUGCGGACAGUGUCUGGUGGGUAGUUUGACUGGGGCGGUCUCCUCCCAAAGAGUAACGGAGGAGCACGAAGGUUGGCUAAUCCUGGUCGGACAUCAGGAGGUUAGUGUAAUGGCAUAAGCCAGCUUGACUGCGAGCGUGACGGCGCGAGCAGGUGCGAAAGCAGGUCAUAGUGAUCCGGUGGUUCUGAAUGGAAGGGCCAUCGCUCAACGGAUAAAAGGUACUCCGGGGAUAACAGGCUGAUACCGCCCAAGAGUUCAUAUCGACGGCGGUGUUUGGCACCUCGAUGUCGGCUCAUCACAUCCUGGGGCUGAAGUAGGUCCCAAGGGUAUGGCUGUUCGCCAUUUAAAGUGGUACGCGAGCUGGGUUUAGAACGUCGUGAGACAGUUCGGUCCCUAUCUGCCGUGGGCGCUGGAGAAUUGAGGGGGGCUGCUCCUAGUACGAGAGGACCGGAGUGGACGCAUCACUGGUGUUCGGGUUGUCAUGCCAAUGGCACUGCCCGGUAGCUAAAUGCGGAAGAGAUAAGUGCUGAAAGCAUCUAAGCACGAAACUUGCCCCGAGAUGAGUUCUCCCUGAGACCUUGAGUCUCCUGAAGGAACGUUGAAGACGACGACGUUGAUAGGUCGGGUGUGUAAGCGCAGCGAUGCGUUGAGCUAACCGAUACUAAUGAACCGUGAGGCUUAACCUU
This 2740-nucleotide ribosomal RNA is filed under the name Enterobacter cloacae. RNAcentral's name for it is "bacterial LSU rRNA". It matches the Rfam family "Bacterial large subunit ribosomal RNA". Lineage: Bacteria; Pseudomonadati; Pseudomonadota; Gammaproteobacteria; Enterobacterales; Enterobacteriaceae. RNAcentral also lists the same sequence under 1 other name. The record is from RNAcentral.